GACGAACGCUGGCGGCGUGCUUAACACAUGCAAGUCGAACGAAAAUACCAAGCUUGCUUGGUUGAUUAGUGGCGAACGGGUGAGUAACACGUGAGUAACCUGCCCCUUACUUUCCUGGAUAACUGCUCGAAAGGGUAGCUAAUACGGGAUAUUCUGACCAGCCUGCAUGGGUUGGUUUGGAAAGGUUGUUUUUCUGGUAAGGGAUGGGCUCGCGGCCUAUCAGCUUGUUGGUGGGGUGAUGGCCUACCAAGGCUUUGACGGGUAGCCGGCCUGAGAGGGGGGACGGUCACACUGGGACUGAGAUACAGCCCAGACUCCUACGGGAGGCAGCAGUGGGGAAUAUUGCACAAUGGGCGCAAGCCUGAUGCAGCGACGCCGCGUGAGGGAUGAAGGCCUUCGGGUUGUAAACCUCUUUCGUCAGGGAACAAGGCACUGCUUUUUUGGUGGUGUUGAGGGUACCUGGAUAAGAAGCGCCGGCUAACUACGUG
RNAcentral lists this ribosomal RNA (488 nucleotides) under uncultured bacterium. RNAcentral's name for it is "partial 16S ribosomal RNA". It matches the Rfam family "Bacterial small subunit ribosomal RNA", at positions 28 to 507 of the family's 1533-position model. The record is from RNAcentral.